This 460-nucleotide ribosomal RNA is filed under the name uncultured bacterium. RNAcentral's name for it is "partial 16S ribosomal RNA". It matches the Rfam family "Bacterial small subunit ribosomal RNA", at positions 338 to 795 of the family's 1533-position model. The record is from RNAcentral.
CCUACGGGUGGCAGCAGUGAGGAAUAUUGGUCAAUGGACGAGAGUCUGAACCAGCCAAGCAGCGUGAAGGAUGACUGUCCUAUGGGUUGUAAACUUCUUUUAUAUGGGAAUAAAAUGUUCCACGUGUGGGUUUUUGUAUGUACUAUAUGAAUAAGGAUCGGCUAACUCCGUGCCAGCAGCCGCGGUAAUACGGAGGAUCCGAGCGUUAUCCGGAUUUAUUGGGUUUAAAGGGAGCGUAGGUGGAUUGUUAAGUCAGUUGUGAAAGUUUGCGGCUCAACCGUAAAAUUGCAGUUGAAACUGGCAGUCUUGAGUGCAGUAGAGGUGAGCGGAAUUCGUGGUGUAGCGGUGAAAUGCUUAGAUAUCACGAAGAACUCCGAUUGCGAAGGCAGCUCACUGGACUGCAACUGACGCUGAGGCUCGAAAGUGUGGGUAUCAAACAGGAUUAGAUACCCUUGUAGUC